RNAcentral lists this long non-coding RNA (2458 nucleotides) under Theobroma cacao (cacao). RNAcentral describes it as "long non-coding RNA (TCAC_LNC003800)". The record is from RNAcentral. Lineage: Eukaryota; Viridiplantae; Streptophyta; Magnoliopsida; Malvales; Malvaceae.
AAGAACAAAGGAAGAAAAGAAAGAACAAGAACCCUUGGUGGAAAAUUCAAGAGAAAAUUGGUGGAUUUCAAGUAAUCAAGCAAUCAAAGGUAAAAUUUCUUGAGUUUAGCUUGUGAUCUACCUUUCCCAUGCAUUCUUUUUCAUUUUCCAUGGUUGAGAAUCAAGUUUGCAUAAGGAUACCCUUGCUGGUCGGACAUGGGGGGAGGAGUUUUGAUGCUUGAUUUGGUUAGAUUUCAAUGUAUUUUAGUGUUUUUAGUUAGUUAGUGAUGUGUAGCAUGAAAAGCCAACAAGAAAAAUUCAUUUUCUCCCAUCACCAAUCAUUGGCCGAAUUUUCCUUGUAGAGUGUUGAUGGUGGAUUUAAUUUUAUUUCAAGUGAAUUGGUUAGGAAAUGAUGAAUUAUGGUGAGAAAAUCUAGGAAAAAUCAUAGUGUUGAUGCACUCACCAUGGCCGAAAUUCUUAAGAAGAAAUGUGAGGAUAGUUUUGCUAAAUUUUAUGUUAUUUGACUUGUGUUUGGUGAUUUAAAGAAUUGGGAGAAAAAUGGAAUUAAUUGGAGUUGAAUUGGACAUAUUGGCCAAUUAAUCGGGUGAUAGAUCGAAUUAGGCCAAUACCGAUUUAUUUUGGUACACAAUUGAAUUUGUGUAGAACAUCGUGUUUAGACGAUAAUUUGAACGAUUUGCAUUCCAUUUCAUGCAUUAGUAAAGAGCUUGAAAUAGAUUUAUAAUGGUAUGACACAAUAUAUUAAAUUGUGUGUCGUGUAUUGUAUAUAGGUGGUGAGCCCUCUAACAAGGGUAAAGACGUUGUGUCAGAGGACUGAGAAUAGGAAUAUUUCAAACUCCUGAUACAGUGAGUAACCUUAUCAUCAUCUUGAUUAUCUGAAGUGAAUUUUAAUUCAUUUUUGUGAUUUUAUGAAAAAUGAGUUUAAAUGGUUAAUUUUUAGGUUUUAUAAGCAAAACUGUGAUUAAAUGAAAUGAUUUUAUAAAAUUGUCUUGAAAUUGAAUGAUGGUUUUGAAAAUGGAGUAAUUGGAGACUAAUUGCUGUGUUAUAAAUCAUGGUUUGAAUUGAAUGGCUUAUGAUAAUAUUGGCAUGAAUGGUUGAAUUAGUAAAUGUGCUGAAAAUGUAUGAACUAUUAAUUUGCCUUGAGAGGCUGUAAAAUAAAAUAAUUGCCAUGUAAUGCUAUUGAAUUUUAUUGAAUUGGUGGGUUAUAUAUUGGUCACUGCAGUGGACAGGUUUCGUGGACCAGCCUAUUAAAGGGGCACGGUAACCCUAUUAUAUUCUUACCUCAGUAUGAGGGGCGCGGAUGGAUAACUCUUGAGGUUAACACUUUGGAGUUCACUUCACGCUAAACCACCAUGUGAGGGUGAACUCAUCCAACGCCAAGGAACGGCUAUGUUUUCUAAAUAAAAACAUGAUUUAUGUGUACAUAACUUUUUAACAGCCUUGGUGGACUCGGUUGGGAUAACGCUAGGCCAAGGUAUCCCUAAUAUCUAAGUAUGAGAAUGAUUUUGGCACAAGCCAAACUUUUUAGGAAAUCAUAAGCCUCGUUGUUUAUUUUGGUGAAAUGAAUCUAUUUUAUCUUAUUAAAAUGAGUUCAAAAUGUUGAGAAUCAUUUUUAUACUCAACUAUUUUAUCUGUCUCUAUUUACUCAGCUUUAGAUAUUUUAGAUGGUAUUUGUUUACUCAUUGGGAUUUUAUAAUCUCACCACCCCUUUUAGGCUCAGAAUAGGCUGUAGAUAGCUGAUUUCAUCGAUAGCUACUAUUGGAUUUGCAUCCUCAAAAACUGUAGGUUUAACGUUUUUGAUACUUUUGGUCGUUUGUGGGCUCACGUGUCAUUGUAAAUUAAAUCUUAUGCUUUGGUUAUCUGUAUUACAGUAUGUAUGAAUUUAUUUAGCUUUUACGCUACAAAAAUUAUUUACCGGUAACUUUAUAAAUAUUGUUUUAUAAGAAAAUAGAAUACUUAAUUGAAUAUUUUUAUUAUAUUCAAAUAGGUAUAGUUUCACUUUAAAUGAAUGUUUUAGACAUUUAAACUUAUUUUUGAUUAUGAAUUAUGUGUUUUGUACUCUCCUACUAUAUUUUUAGCUAGUUUCGAGAUUUUUAAGGAAAAAUGACCAAAAUGCCCCUGUGAGAAAAAAUUAUUUUUCUGUUGUUUUGAUUUGGAAAUAGUUUAUAAUCUAUCAAAACAUGAUACUUAACAACUAUUGCUCAUAGGGGAGGUGCGAAAACUGAUAUUAAAGCCUUGAGAGAUUCCGGUUGGCAUUCUGGGCAAUGAAUGUCUAUCAAGACGUCACGGCGAUUGUCACGGGCUUAAGGGGAGUAUCGGGUCGUGACAGAGUUAUGGAAACUUUAAAAGAGGCUUCCAUGGAAGAUGAAGAAAUGUGAGAUGGGAGGAAGAAGAACAAGAAGCUGCUAGAAAAAUGAGGAAGUUGCUGGGGAAAUGAGAUAUUUAUAGCCUAAGCUUAUCC